Molecule: long non-coding RNA, 43446 nt
Filed under: Prunus persica (peach)
Lineage: Eukaryota; Viridiplantae; Streptophyta; Magnoliopsida; Rosales; Rosaceae
Description: long non-coding RNA (PPER_LNC002350)
Source: RNAcentral
UCCCUCUUCUUGAUAAAGCAUCCCAUCGGUUUCCUCAUCAUACAUAGGAUACUCUGUAACACCCAAAACACCUGAGGCAAUCAACUGUUUGGCUUCCCACUUCUCUGGCGAGCUCAUUCUCUUCAAUGGCCGACGUGAUGGGCCAACAUCAUCCUCUUCCACAAUCCUAAUCCCAGAAAGACCAGUCCUAGUCACAGGUCCAUCCUUUGAAAAAGAUGGGUUCGUCCUAAGAGCAUCAUCCUCUGAGCUCUUCUUCAAGGGGAGCAAAUCCUUCCCUGUAUGUUGAUCAACAUCCCUCAUUGAAAGGCUCAACUUCUGACCUGAAAUUGAAAUCACCUUCACAUAAACUUCCUGAUCCCUCUUCACCACAUCCUUAGCAUUGCUAAUUCGCCUAGUUGCCAUCUGUGAAACGUGAACCAGACCCUCCUUCCCUCUUAAAUCAUUCAACUGAACAAAACAACCGGUGUCCAUCACUCUCGAAACCCUGCCCUUAUAAACCUGAUACAAUUCGGGCUCAUCCGAAUGGUUCUGGCCGUUCUGCCGAUCCCUAUUACCUCUCCUAUCAUCACCAUCUUCCUUAACAUCUCCAUCGUCUUCAUACCUAUCUCUCUUAUGCUUAUUGUAUCGAUCUGUAUGCCUUCCCCUGUCAUCAUCAUCAUCAUUAUAAUGUGUAUCUCUGCGCCUCUCAUCUCUAUCAUACCUUUCCCUUCGCCUCUCCCUCCCAUCUCUAUCUCUACCUCCUCUGUGUCUAUCUCGAUCUCUAUCUCUAUCUCCUUCCCUAUAUCUAUCACUACCUCUACGCCUAUCUUCUUCUCGCUCUUCAUCUUGUUCUUCUCUUCUGUUUCGCUUUUCCUUGGUCUCCAUCUCAAUUUCCUUCUCGAUGUCCUUGACUCUAUCUUUAUUAUCAGCGACUGCCAAAGCCUUAAACUUGGUCUUCCUACCAUCAGAAGCGCUCUCUUUCUUCGAGUCCUUCUCAGGCUUUGGCUUUGGUGGAAGAAUAGCGUGAAUGAUAGUGAGGAGUGUACGGACAAAGUAAUCGGGCAUCUCGGCACCGUUUUUCUUUAAUUUGGUGUCAAACUCGUCCACCGUCUCGCACUUUCGUCCCAACUCAGUGAUGAACUCCGCCAGAACUUUGUCCCCAACCCCUAUAUGGGUUUCGAGCUCUGAACAGACCUUGGAAACCAAGGAAAGGUACUCGAGCUUCUUCAAACCAUCGUCAGUGGCAGCCAUUAUGAACUUGCAGAGGUCCUAUUCAUAUUCAAUACAAAAACAAAUCAUAUCAAUAGAAAUUUCAAAAUUUAUGAGAAGAUGCAUAAACCGUAUAAUAUUAACUUGCACAGGCCCUAUUCAUAUUCAAGACAAAAAAUUCAUAUCAACGGAAAUUUCAAAAUUUAUGAGAAGAUCAUUGCUAUAUACUUUUAAUCAGUAGCAUAAAGUUCAAAAUUCAUGAAUGAUAAAUUUAUCACAAAAAAAGAAACAAUUUCUACAACUUCAAACUCACCCAGCAAAAAAUAAAAUUUAAAUCUAAAAUUGCAUACCAGGAGGAUCUGGAGAGUUAAUUCAACUAAUAAUAAAGUAAACUUGGAAUGCCAAAGCAAAUUCAACUAAAACCCUGUAGAACCCAGGAAAUAAGAAACGGAAGAGAAUAAAAAAGAAAUAUGAAACAAAAUCAAGGAAACUGAUCGUUGCUAAAGGGUGGAUCUUAAAUAUGUGAUGGGAUGGGGUCCAAGAUUAGAAUAUAUUGCAGUAAGACAUCAUACUUGGGAUGAGAUGAGAUCAAAGAUGGUUGCGCAUCAACCGUUGUCGCUGUCGAGAGAGAGGAGAGAUGAGCAAUAUGUAUAUGGCGGGAAGACGGCGUCGAAAAAUGGAGGAGUUGACGGUUGAGAUGGGCGGAUUGUUCGUCGCUGACGGCUGGAGCGUUUCUGUUUCAAAAAUAAUCUCAACUGAGAGGGGGGAUUUUAGCGAUUAGGGUUGAGAACUUGAGUUGGAGUGCACCGGCUGUAUCGAUACGCCUAAAUUUGGACCUGUGAAACUAGAGAAAAUAAUAUAAUAAUAAUAUCAUUUAUCUUUCCAAAGGCCAAAAACUUAUAAGUAAAAAUUUAAUAAAUUACAGAGAAACUUUAGUAAAUAGAAGAAUAUUAGGUAUGCAAUAAAAAGAUGAGGAAAAUUUUGGAAAAUAUAGUUAGUGGAGAUUUUUUUUUUUUUUUUAUACAAACAAUAAUCUAGUUUUUUUAUUUUUAUAAUCAUUCUAGGCCUACUUUAAUUUUUAUUUUUUAACAGCUAAUAGGAUAUUGGCACAUGAGUUGAUCUAUAGUAUUUUUUUACUACUUUUUGUUAGGUUAUUUUUAAUUUAAAUAUUCACUAGCCUCUUUUCACGCUCUUCUGCUUCUGUGAGAGGCUUUUUUAAAAAAAAAAUUGAAUUUAUUUUAGAAUUAAAAAAGAUAAUGAGUAGUUGUGUUCUAUAAAAAUAGGAUCCAUUAUCUGAUUUUUCUUUUAAUUUUAAUCUUUUUAAUAUGAAAAAAUGUGAAUUUACCAUAUUAUUCUCAUUUAAUUAAUAAUUUCAAUUCUUAAUGUUUGCAUUAAUCAAUGACAUUUUCUGGUAUUUUAAAUAUUUUAUCAUUCUCUACCUUUUGCUUUGUAUAUAUGGAUAUAGAUAAUAAUAAAAUACUCCCUUUCAUUGAGAUAUUGUUAUGCUUAAAAUCGUAUACACACCACAUUGUAUUGAAAUGUUAUAGUGACUAAACUCUUCAAGUAUCUUGCAAUUAUCAGAUAAGGAGUUAGUAAUCACAUAGGAAAAUAUUCAAUUUAUAUGUUUCUGGUUAUAAUAGUCAUGAUGCAUUUCACACCUUUUGCUGGUCUAGUCAAUACUGUUAUACUUCAGAAUUCCAAUAACGCUACGGGCACCAACUUAUUUACCAACUUUUGGAUACCAACACAUGUGGCACAUGACAUGGCAACCCAUGUCAUCUGCCAUCUCAUCUAUUUUAAUUACAAAAUUAACAAAGUGAGAAUGAACAAAAAAUAAUUUUGGUGGAUUAUUAUCGCGUUUGGAGUGAGUUUGGGUGUUUGAUUUGAUUUUGAUUAUUUAAUAAUACUAUUUUGGCCAUUGGAUUUGAUUUUGAGACAUUGGAAUUUUUUUUUUUUUGGUACAGUUGGAUUUGCUCAAAUUAAAUCUUAGCCAUUAUAUAUAACGAUAGAAAUUAAUUGGAAAAGAAAACGAAACAGUAGUUUGAAGGAAGCCGUUGGAUUCCUACGAUCCUUUCAUCCCAGCUCGUUAUGUGUCCUGACAACACGGGCCCCACGUCUUCUCAUCCAUUAAUCCCAACUCAAUGAACUUCCUUUUCAAACCCAACAAAAAAGAAAAAAAAAAAAAAAAGCGAUCUGAUUUGAAUGCACUUCUUUAUCAUGCAUUUUGUCCAGGAUAGGGGACUGAUUUUCCAGGCCAAGUGCGCAAAACAGUAGAGAUUUUAAAAUCAACUUUCCGAACGUAAAAUUAAAGUGGCUCGUUUAUGAAAAAGUUUCCCUCCCAUCUCCUCCUACUUUUCCCUCCUCACUCCCCUAGAAGAAUACCGGUAUAUAUUUUUCAUUUUCGGAAUUUCCAUUUUGUCUCAACUCAAACGUCAUUUGCUCUUGUCAUCCUCCUCCUUCAAUCCAACCCGCAUCCAUUGUUAGCUCGAAUCUUCUAAAACUACUACUUCGUUGUAAUUGGAUAUUAUUGAUUUGAUGGGUAGAGAGCAAGCUUAUGUUGGUGACGAUAUUGAUGAAAGUAAGUUCAAGACUUCGGAAGCAAUGAACCGCUACAAGAUAAUCUUCAGUGUUCAAGCUGUGACGGUUGAGCGGGAGGUCAAAUUGAGUGACUUCGAGGAUCUUGGGCUUCCUAGAAUCUUCAAAUCAAGAGGUUGGCUUUUGGCAAUGGGUCCUUCAGAGCCUACUAAUAUCCAGAUUGUCCAAGAAUUCUACGCAAACAUUCCUCCUUUCUCCGCCGAGCAGAAAACCUCACCUGGGUUGGGCCCUUUUGGUUCUUGUUUGUGGGAUGAGACUCUGCAUUUCUCUAGCGGUCGAGAAUACCCUGACUCAUUUGAUGUGUAUUUGCGAGGUAAGGUGUUAAAUUUCUCUGUUUCUGGCAUUGCCCAGUUACUUAAACUUACUAGGGCAAACCCAAAUGAAAAAUCACCUGGUUUUCCUGGGCUUGUUGUUGAUAAUCUUGACUUGAAGGUGGUGAAAUCUACUUUGGGUUGGAACAAGAGGGUCAGGGUUUUGCGUGAAAAUCGACUGAGUGAUUUGUACAAAGUGCUUAACAGCAUAGUGAGAUAUAAUAUCGAUCCUCCUUGUCACGUUAUCCCUUCUUUGCUUAGCAUUGAUAGAGCUCGCCUUCUUUAUGCCAUUGGGAACAAUGUACCUACUGAUCUGGCCACCUACAUUUUUCGUGCCAUCUGCCGUGCUGCAUUCCCAACUUCCAUGCCCGACUCCCUGCCUUUUACUUCCUUGAUCACACGCUUCGCCAUGGCUUCUCACGUGCCAGUUGAGCCUACGGAUAAGCUUUAUUCUCCUUGGUCGCCUUUGGACAACGUGGAUAUUUUUGGCUAUAGCUUUACUCCAUCUUCUCCGGCAGUCAAGCAACCUCAAGCCGUGGUGAGCCACACGCCCAGUAUGGCCAUACUUACCAAUGGCGUUGCUGAGCACAGGGGUGAUGUGCACCCCGUUUCCACCCACUCGGUCAUCCCACCUUCUUCGAAACAGCCAUCUGCAGGUCAGUCAAAUGUUAAUAGACAGACAUUAACAACAACAAAUGUAAUUUUCCUUAGAUUACACUUGGACAUUCAGCUUAUUACUGUAAAAUGCAUAGGCCCUUAUUGUUUUUAAGUGCAGGUGGUAAAAAUUUCCGAGGGUUUUCGUUGGUAGCAUCAUAGUUAGUAACAGAGUUGAACUUAUAGUAAGCAAUUAGGCAUCAAACAUGGCACGUUUCUGUGAUUAGUACUUAUGUCCUUCAAUUGUGUAUAUAUUGUUUGCAUGGUAAGUGGAAACCUUUAGAAGAUAAGCUCUCUGUUUGAAAUCACAUCUGUAUUCUUUUAAGGUUUGGUGUGAAGGAUAAACCAUGAAGUAGUCUACUAAUGCGAUAAUGGCUCAUAUUUUCACAUUUUCCUGUCUUCGUUGCCUCUGUUCUUGAAAACGUAUAAAGUGAUGGAGAGGUCUUAUUAUUUUUGGAAAAUAUUACAAUGUUCCCACAUCCCUGUAAUCUGUAUUUGACAGUGUACAUUGAUAAUAAAAUGAACGACUCAGAUACUUCAUGUGACAAUGAGGUAUGAACUUCAUCACAUUUUGUCUCUUUAAGGUUAUAAUAGUCACGAUGCAUUUCACACCUUUGCUGGUUUAGUCAAUGCUGUUAUACUUCAGAAUUCAGAUAGAUUAGAAUCAGAUGAUUGCUUUCUCUCUGCUUGUUACCAAAUACUCUGUCAGUUUAAUAUCUUUGUGUGUAAACAAUAUAAGAAAAACGAAUCUUUUCUCUUGUGCUGUUUUUGCUCUCUUUGAUAUUUACUUUCUCUCUGUGCUUGUGCUGAAGAAAUAAUGGAGGCUGAAGAAGAAAAUAACAGCAAUUUGAUUCCUAACUCACAUGCUUGUAUAAAUCCAUUAACUUCAACUUCUGACUCGCAUCCAAAUAAGAAAGUGAAAAAAGAUCCAUUGGAACAUGCAGCUGGUGAGGUGUCAAAGUUACUGCUGAGUGGUUUCAAAGAUACCUAACGUCAGUAGAUUGCAAGUUUUUAAAGCUGUACGCAUAAUAUUGAAUGGUAACCCAGAAGAAUUCUCUCUACUGAUACUCUUCCUGAUGUUGAGAAGACAAAGUGGAUACUCUUACUAAUUAGUCAAUCUGAAGGUAACUUUCUUGAUAAAAAUUGAGCCAAUAGCUCAGGGGAUAUAAAAUAGGUCUUAGACAUAAAGCCACUUAUCAACAUUUACUUUCUCUCAGGAAAAGAAGAAAGUUUGAGAUACGCUAUCCCUUCUGGCCAUGGUAUGGCUCUCUCUCUCUCUCUCUCUCUCUCUCUGUCUCUCUCUGUGUCUCUCUCUCUCUGUCUCUCUCUCUCCCUCUAACUUAAUUUCUAGUUCUGCAUUUGUUGUUUUAAUUUUAUGCUUUUAACAUGUCAAACCAAUACUUCACUCUGUAAGAUUACUACUUAAUAUCUAGAUAGAAGAGAGAUUUGAACUGAAAUAUCCCAAUUGUAAAUCCUUCUACUCCAAAUUAAAGAGAAAAAGAAAAGUAUGAACCAAUUGGACAGAAUAUACUUGCACAUACUCCCUCCUUGAAUGAGUUUCAGUAAGAAAGCUAGUGUAGCCAAUUGGACAGAAUUUACUUGCACAUACUCCCUCCUUUGAUGUAGUUUCCAAGUGCAUCACCUUAUGAUACCUCUUCAUGUUUUCAAUUAGUAUUGGCUUGUGACAUGCCAAUUUUCUGAGCUUUUAGGGUUCAAUUAUGUAGAUAGAAGAGAGAUUUGAACUGAAAUAUCCCAAUUGUAAAUCCUUCUACUCCAAAUUAAAGAGAAAAAGAAAAGUAUGAACCAAUUGGACAGAAUAUACUUGCACAUACUCCCUCCUUGAAUGAGUUUCAGUAAGAAAGCUAGUGUAGCCAAUUGGACAGAAUUUACUUGCACAUACUCCCUCCUUUGAUGUAGUUUCCAAGUGCAUCACCUUAUGAUACCUCUUCAUGUUUUCAAUUAGUAUUGCCUUGUGACAUGCCAAUUUUCUUCAAUGAUUAUAUACAGGGAGCAGAGUGGCCAAUUCUUUCCUUUCAUAAUUCAACAUCUUGUUCUGGGCACAUGGUAGAAGAUGCCUUCUUGUAAACAGACUUUUUGUAUUUGGUCAGGCUUGCAAUGCUCUAUUUUGUGGAUUUUAAGAUUGUAUUAGGCUUACUUGUGAGCUGCAAAAUGCCUUGUACCAAAGUUUAUGUAUAAAAUGUGUGCUAAAUCUUGUGUGUGGAGUACAAGAUUGAAGGUCUUCCUGGAAAAGCAAUCACAAGCAUUUUCUCUUUUCAAUUUGUAGAAAUGUUCAAGUUCUUGCCCAUCACUUGCAGAUAUAUAGUGUUGUGUACCAUAAAGGCUCCAUCAUAUGCAAUUCCAUCAAGGCUUGCAGGCCAAUCACUGCUUUCUCUUGGAUAUUACAAACAUUUGUAGAGCCAUAAUGAAAACUUGGUAGACAAACCCAAAUACGUGCAUUGACCAUUUGCUUAAACUUGAUAGGCUAGCAAGAGCUUGUAGCUCAAGUGGUUAAGAGUAUCUAUCCUUACACUUGAGGUCCUAGAUGUGAUUCCCUCCUCCCAAUAUCGCUUGUAACCAAAAACAAGCAAAAAAACUUGAUAGGCCAGACCCAGAUGAACCUGGUUUUCAUAAACUUGUUUGUCAGCUUGAUAGUGGCUUAUUAGAGUCCAAAUUGGUUGGGAAAGUAAUGUCCACCAGUUUUAGCAGAUACCCUUUGAGACAAUGUUGAACAGAGCACUUCACUUGAUUGUUAAUGACUAGGGCCCCAAGGGUAUGUUCUUGGUAUGUUACCUUAGGCCUAAGAUACUCUGUCUGUCAGAAGAGAAGAAUGGAGAAGAGGGUGAACAGUGCACGAGAUUGCUGGGUUUUUGCAAGUUAGAGAGAUGAAGAAGGUGGAAAAAUAAGGCACAAAUGGGAAGAUAGCUUGCAUUCUUCUUAUUUUUAACAGACUUUUAUAUAUACCCUACAACGUAAACUAGAAAAUAAUUAUAUAAAAUAAUGAAAUUCCAAAACUCUUUUGGAUCUGAAAGUCUAAAGGUUUUCAUUUCUUCAGUUUUCCUCUCACUCUUUGGUUCUCCAUCAAUUUAUUUUUCAUCAUUCUCUCAUCUCAUCCCUCCUUUACAUGUAUGCAAUCAUUGUAUAUUAAAUGAGGAGAAGUGAGGAGAUGAGUAGAGCUGGGUUCAGGGUUGGUGACAAAGAAAAUGAAAUCAAUCAAUGAUGGAGAUAGAUGUCCAAAGAAAAAUAUUUUGAUGAAGUAGAGAAAUUGUAUUUUUGGGAAGAGUUGAGUGUCUAGAGAAUGGUGAGAAUAAAAAUAGAAACCCAUUGAAACACCGAGUGUAAACAGAAUUCUUGGUAAUAUGAAAUUUCUCUUUCACAUUCAAGGAGUCAAAUCACAUGAAAAGUUUAUGAAGGAACUAUGUUGUAACUACUCUUAACAACUUGAGCUAUACGUGUCAAGUUAGAUCUUCAAUAAUGUAGUAACACACUCUUCAAUAAUGUCUCACAAUGUUAGAUCUUUCAUAGUGAAAAUUAAAUUGAAGAGUGAGAAAGUGAUUUCUAAGAGCAACUCCACCGCUCAAGAUUGAGCUAGGGCAAUCAGUGGGUCCCACCAACCUGGGCAGGCCCAAAGGCAAUUCUUGCAUGGGCUUCAGCCCGAGGGCGGUGACAUCAGCGCACGGUAAUUCAAAUUUUUUUUACCGUUGGUGCGUGAAUUACACGCGCCAACAGUAAAAAAAUUUGACUUCCGCGCGCUAACGUCAGCCCUGAUAGACUCUAAUGGCCAUUUGACACGUAUCGCAACCGGGCUUCUCCGAUGAGUUUUUUUCCAGAAAUCCAACGGUCUUUGUUUUUUUGGCUAAAAAAAUUCCAAAAAAAUUCUGAAAUUUUUUUAAAAAAUACCAAAAAAAUUCUGUAUUUUUUUUUCCUAUAAAUACCUAACUAUUUUAUUUACUUUCCACACUAAAUCUUCAUACAAUUUCUUCUCCAUCCAAUAUUUUUUACUCUCCACUCACAUUAUUCACUUCCCACACCAAUUCUCCAUACAAACUCUUCUCCUUCCAAUAUUUUUUACUCUCCACUCACAUUUUUCACUUCCCACACCAAUUCUCCAUACAAAUUCUUCUCCUUCCAAUAUUUUUUACUCUCCACUCACAUUUUUCUACUACUUUCCAUUUGUAAAAAAAAAAAAAAAAACAAAUGGCAUCUUCUGUCGAAACCGGAGGCUCGUGGUCAACUCAGGAAGAUAUUGCAUUGUGUCAGUAUUAGGUGAACGUUAGUAAUGAUCCUAUCACGGGCAAUGAGAUGAAGUUCCAUCAUAUGUGGAGUAAAAUUCAUGGAGAAUUUUGUCAAAGAUCGGGUCCCAUUCGGACCGAAAUAGCCUUGUCUAGUAGAUGGAAACUUCUGAAUAAAGAGUUAGGGAAAUGGAGAAAUGCCUUGACAAAAACAAGGGAGAACAUUCGAAGCGGUCAAAAUCUAUCCGAUGAGGUAAAAUAUUUAUAAUUGUCAUUUUAAUAAAUUUAAUGUAAUUUUUUUUUAUUGCAUAUUCUAUGUCUUUUUGUUGCAUAAUCUUUUUUUUUUCUUUUUGCAUUUCCAAUUUGUCUAUAUUUUCUUGCAUAAUCAAUUUCAUUCUUGCAUUUCAAAAUAGUUUAUAUUUUCUUGCAUAAUAAUUUUUUUUCUUGCACUUCCAAUCAUUUAUUUUUAAUAGAUCAUACAAGCACAAAUGUGGUUCGGUGCCAUGGGGCAAGGCAAAAAAAGUUUCGUGCAUUUCCAAUGUUGGGAAGUUGUGAAAGAUUGUUCAAGAUUCAAAAUUAUUCCCACCGGUCCAACAGUUUUGUUGAAUGAGACGCCGCUUCACGAUUCACCAUCAACCGAUUCGCCAUUGGACUUCCCAAUGGAAACGGAGUCACCACUCCCACGUCCGCCAAGACCUAUUGGGAGAAAGGCGGCAAAGGCCAAGAGAGGGGGCACUUCAAACAAUGAAUGUAUACAAUUAUUGGAGCAAAUAGCUAAGAACACCUCACUAAGAAUUGAGAGAGACUUGAAAAGAGAUGAAGUGGACAAGGCACGAGAGGAAGCAUUUGUAAUUCAACAGCAGCAGGCACAAGACAAAGACAUGGAUGAUAGAGAGAUGAAAAUCAUGGCCAUGGAUACGAGCCAUAUGUCUCCUGAAACCAAGGCCUAUUGAAAGCAUAGACGAAGAGAUGUGAUGAGAAGAAAACUUUUCCAUGACGAUGAACCUAGCAAUACGGAUUGGUUAAAUGAUGAAAACCAUUAAGUUUUAUUGAAACACCUUUGCCAUAUGUUGUAUUGUUGUAUUGUUGUAUUAUCCUUUAAUUUAUUGUAUUGUUUCCUUUUCAUUAAAUAAAAAAAGUAUUAAAUAAUAUGACUAUUUAUUAAAAACAUUUGAGCAUCAAAAUAAAGAUUAAUUAAAAACAAACCUUAAUUUAUUGCAAACAACACACAAAAUAAAUCAUACAUAAAAGCAUAAUAAUAAUAAAAAAGAUAGAGAUGGUGUAGUUUUAUAGAGGGAUUCAGAAGAUAGAAAUGACACGUGGCACAAUUUUAGAGGAUGAAAAUCUUAUCUGAAAUAUGAGAUUAUAAUUUUUAAAAAAUAUCUGAAAAUCUUAUCUAACAGAGAUAACACUUGGCACAAUUUUAGAGGGUGAAAAUCUUAUCUGAAAUAUGAGAUUAUAUUUUUUUUUUAAAUAUCUGAAAAUCUUAUCUGACAUGGGACACGUGACACAAUUUUAGAGGUGAAAAUGUUAUCUGAAAUAUGAGAUUAUAAUUUUUUUUAAUGAAUAUCCGAAAAUUUUAUCUGGAAUAAGACAUGUGGCAACUAAGAUUCUCAUUCGAAAAUCUUUUCUGAAAAAUAAUGGACAUGUGACAGUAAAAAGUAUUAUCCGAAAAUUUAAUUACAAAAGAUUAUCAAAAUUAAUAGUUUAAAGUAUAAAAAAAUAGGAAAUAAAGUACAAUGAAUAGUAUUUACCUUAGACUUGCCCUAGACUUAACCCUCAUGGGUGGAACCACAAAUGGCAAGGCUGCCACUAUUCAUGUGACUAUUCAUGUGAAUAGUCACAGCCCUUGCUUACCCUUGCCCUAGACUUAGCCCUUAUGGGUGGAAUUGCUGUAAAAAGUUAACAUCAAAAGACCCUUAAAAAGUAUGUGAUCAUUCUCAAUAUGGACCCCCAUAUUUCAAUUUCAUUAUUUUACUCCCACGGUUUUCAAAUUUGCUCAAUUUACUUUCCGUCACAUUAACUGCUAACGUGUCUACUGUGAGACACAGCCACUUAUCAAUCCCCAUCCCAUCUAACAUGUAAUAAAACAAAAACUAAAUAUAUGAUAUUAAAAAAAAAGAAAAAAAAAAGAAGAGGCAUAUAGCCUUCCCCAUCACUCUCACCGACGCACAGUCGCACCACCCGAUCCCCCUCCCUUUCUUCGUCCUCUCUCUCUCUCUCUCUCCCUCUCUCCCUCUCUCCGUCCCUUUCUCCCCCAUCCCAUCUUCUCGAGUUCUCUGAUUCCCCCCCCCCUCUUCGCGAUCUACCUCUCCUUCGAGAGGCUUCUCGAGUCCAGGCCCUGCGAUGCCGAUCAGACCUAGCUCAUCGAUCGCUCUCUCCAAUUGGGCUCUGUGCUCCUCGAGGCUGCUAAUCGUUCUGCGAGAAAACCAGCCUCCAAGCACAACUCUCUCACCUGUACUCUCCCCUCAAACCUCCCUCCAAGCACAAUUUGUAUAUAUUGAUAGGGAUGGGGAGCUGGGAGGAUAGUGGGACGGAGAGAGAGAGGGGGGGACGAAGAGAGGGAGAGUGCUCUGGUGGGGAAGAGCCAGGUGCGCCGCUAUCACGAACACAUUCAGACCACGAGCUGACGCAAGUGGAAAUCAUGCUUCUCUGUUUUUCUAGUUCUGUAGUCGCCGCUAAUCAUGCUGCUUUGAUUUUCCAUUGAUGUUUGCUUUGUUACUCUCAAAAAGUUUCCUUCCUUUAUUUUUUAUUUAUUUCGAUAAUGAAAUUUGAAAUUUGAAUUGUGUGUUGCUUUGUUACUCUCAAUAAAUCUUCCUUCUUUUUCUUUUUUCUUACAGGAAUUGGGUUUUGGUGUUUCACCAACGAGCUGACGCCAGAGAGAGAGGGAUGGGGUUGGUGUGGGUGCGAUUGAGGGGUGAACAAGGGGUGCUGGGUUUGUUGGGCUGAGGAAGGGCUGGGAUUUUUUAAGGUAUUUUUAUUUUAUUUUAUUUUAUCACUUUAUAUAAAUUUUUUUAGGAACUGAUUAGUUAGUGGGCGGAUCCCGAUUGCCCAUAUUGAGAAUAACCCCAAAUGUCUUUUGAUGUUAGCUCAUUUCUAAAUUUGUAGAGUGAGGGAGUGACCACAGUUUUGAUAUAUUGGUGUCUAUUUUUAUUGGAGCUGAUUUUGUUUGCCUCACCUUACCAGUGGGUAUAUUCCUGGUAAAUAAUAUUGCAACUCUUGCGCUUUUAGAAAUUGUGUGUAUAGUUUUAGAAAAUGGGUCAUGUAAUUUUAAUAUAAAAUUGCUACAAACUCUUGUCAACCCUGGAAAGUUCAGUCCAAGUGGACGAGACAUGCUCUCUCUUAUUAAAAAUGCUAUACAUGUACACCAUGCUUUUGUCCUCAAAUUUGGACUCGUUAUACAGUAUAGACUACUUUAUUUAUGUACUUGGCUAAGAGUUCGAUUAUUUUCCUCCCCUUUUCUUAAAUGGAAAUCAUCUCUAGUUCUUUUCACCCCUAACAACAUAUGGAACUGCUGAGUUCAUAACUUUUCUAUUGUUUAUCUUUUAUGCAUAAAAUUAUAUCUUGUUUUUUUACUGGGUAAUUCAAAACUUGGAAACUCCUUCGACGACUUUACUAAAAAGGAUUUAGGUUUUUUUUACUAAAAAGUCAGUAUAGUAUGAAUACCUAUUUGAUACGAUGUAGGUUUUUUUUUUUAAUUUAAAAAUUUAUUGAAAGGAUUUUUAAUUAUUUGUAUUGGCACUAUUAAUUUUGCCACAGAAUUCUCAGAGGUUUAGUAAUUUGCUUUUACAAAUACCAUGAUCGUUUUGGGAAAUCUCUCUUUCUGGAGGCAGAUUCCAGAGCCGUUUAAGGGAAAUUCGUAGUCGAGCUACCGAUGUUCAUGAUAAGGAAAAGGGAAUCAAGAUUACUGAGAAGGAUUGGGAAAAGUUGAAUGUACAAUUGCUUCAUACAACAAUUUUCCUACUGCUGCUGGAUUGGCUUCCUCAGCAGCUGGUUUUGCUUGUCUUGGUAACCGAUAAUACCCUAUUUUGGAUCAUAUUAUUGUUAAUUUGUUAUAUGAUUAGUGCCUUAACUUUGAGAACUCAUGACUGUUAAUAAUGUUACUUGGGUACCGGAUUAAUCAUUCUUUGCCAAUAGAUAGUAGUUAAGCAACGAGCAUAUCAUAGCUAAGCCUCUGUUUCUACUUGCAGUUUUUGCCCUCGCAAAGUUAAUGAAUGCGAAUGAAGAUCACAGCCAGCUUUCUGCUACUGGAAUCAAUCUGAGAUUUUAAUAAGCCAUCGCAAUCUGACUAAGUUUUACAGAAUACUUAACACAAUAGUAAGUGCUGAUAUCGACCCUGAAGAACGUCUCCUUGACAGUAGCUUAAUUGAUUUUGACAGAGCAAGCCUCCUUUAUGCCAUUGGGAAUAAUAAUGCGUCCAUUGAUCAGCCCGCCCACAUUUUCCGAGCCAUUUGCCUGGCUGCAACCCCAGACGACUACUACGAAACUCAUUCCCUGCCUUUUGGGUCGUUGAUCACUAGGUUUGCCAUGGCGUCUAAAGUGCGAAUUGAUCCUACGGAUCAGCUUAAACAACUUAUGCCACCUAUCAACUAGAUGAUGUUUCAUAAUGAUCAGACAGAUGAAACAAGUGAAGAAUCUGUUGUUGGAUUUACUCCUCCUCCUGCACCUGCUUCGGAGCCAAGUCCUCCACAGCUUAAUCAGCCUCCUCUGUCCCAGACAAAAAGCUUUGAGAAGUUUUCUAUAAAGCUGAGAAAGCGCAUGGCCCGACUUGCCAAUGAGGUCGUUAAGCUCACCGGUUGCGUACAUUGGGGCAUCCCAUUGAAAGAGCCAUUUACAGGUCAUUCUAAUGUUGAGCUUGCUUUAGUUUAUAUGUGUUUUUGUCCUUUUCAGCUUUGUUAAACCCUGUCUUCAACUUUCAUUUCUAAUCCAUUGAUUAUCUAUGAGUUGUUAGGCUUUUGUUUCCAUUUGUUUAUUCAGUUGUUCUUCUUUUAUACCCUCUCAUUUGUUUCUGCUCCUCUGUCUUAUGAUUUUCCACUUCCACUUAUCACUCCCUUGUCAUACACACUUGCAGUACAAGAUAAAUAGAAUCUGAAGUUUGCCUUGUUCUGGAUGAUAAAUAGAAUUCUAUUUAGUUAUAUAUUUUCAAAGAUACAAGUUAAAUAAAGACGAUGUAGCGAGCACCAUAAGCUUCAAAAGAAUUUUCCUAGUUCUAGGCUUAAGUAUAUUUUUUAUCUAAAGGACCUCUGAGUUGACUGCAGGAACUGAUUCAGCCUAAUACUGUAAAAGAAUUGUCCCUUGAAUAUCUUUUUAUGUACAGCUGGUAAGAAAAUUUUCGGGUUUUUACUGGUGGAAGGAAAGUAAUAAACUUGAAGUUAGCAACUAGCACUGAAUGCUUCUGUGGUUAGUGAUUUAGUAUUAAAGAGAAGCUCUGUUUCUGAUCAUAUAUGUAAGAUUGAUUUUGAUUGCAUUAAUUAGUAAAAAAGAUAAGCUCUGUUUCAGAUCAUAUAUGUAUUCUUUUAGUCAACUAAUGAGAUGGGGUGGUUAACAUUUAUUUAAGUGUGACUGGAACAGUUUUGAGUGAUGAAUUUUCCUAUUUUCACUAGGGAGCUGCCUUUGAAUUUGAUAUUUUCGGGAGUGAUUCGAUGCUUUUCUCUCGUUUGAAAACUUAACAAAAUUAAAUAUUCACAAUAUUCCCCAUCGUCUGUAUAAUAAAAAUGAAACUGCUUCUACAUGUGAUUAUGAACUCCAACACAUCUUGUGUCCUUGUGGUUGUAAUAGUCAGCAGUUAAUGCACUUCUUUGCUGCUUUAGUGGAUGUUUUUUAUGCUUUACUUUCUCUCUGUUAUUGUGCUGAAGAAAAUAUGGAGGUUAAACAAGAAAAUGAUGAGAAUUUUAUUCCCAACUCACAUACUUCGACACAUCUAUCAACUUCAAUUUCUGGCUUGCAUCCAAAUAAGAAAGCGAAAAAACAUCCAUUGGCACAAGCAAUUGGUGAGGCGGCAGACUCACAAAAGGAGUUUUCGGCAAGUCAAAUGAACCGCAACUCAGAGGAGAGGAUGUACUUGCAGUGGUCUCAAAGAUACCGAACUUCAGUAGAUUGCAAGUUUUGAAGGCCGUACACAUGUUAUUGAAUACUGCUUAUUAGUAAAUCCUGGGUCUAACUUUCUUGAUAAAUGAUGCUGAGUGAGCCAAUUAUUUCUCAGGGGUUUAAACUUUUGCAUAGAGAGACACUUAUCAGCAUUUACUCUCUCUCUCUCUCUCUCUCUCUCAUUAAUCCAGUAUUAGGAGUGAUCUUGCUUUUUAUUCUUUUCAUAUACAAUAUUAUUGAUAUCCUUUUAUGUCCUUUUACACACACUGAGCUUCUUGACAUGUUCUGGGCUUUUAAUCAUGCUUCAAAGACAUACUUUAAAUCCAUUUAUAUAUCUUCUUUAUCUAUUUAUUUCUCUUGUUUGAGAGGAGGUAUUAUUUCUCUUGUUCAUUAUACUAAUGUAAUUUACACGGAAAGGGGUUUGAACUUCGGUGUAAGGGGUAAGCUCACCAUCUUAUCCAAUUAGCCUAACCGCAUUUGCAGAUGUAUACAAAUACAAUGAUAUAGUCCAAACUACUCUAAAUCUAAACUACUAGGGCAUGUUUGGUAGGGUUCACUAGAUAGGACUAUGCUAAAUUGAACCUGAAACCCAUGUUUGGAUAGAAAGGGGACUAAUUUAAAUGGGAUUGUAGAGCCCAACAGUAACAAAAACCCCUCACUCGUUCUCCUUAUACAGAGAAGCUGAAAAUGGGUUCACAAAAUAAGCGCUUCGUUAUAUUGAACACGCGACAACGCCUCUCUCUCUAGUUCUUGACUUCGCCCUCUAUCUAGUUCGCGACUCGACCUCUUCUUUGUUCAACAUCGACUCCUCUUCUUCGAAUCUUGACCCAGGCAAGUUUUUCUGGUCUUUCCCUUUGGAUACCUCUCUUUUCCUUCUUCCACCUCUUUGAUUUUUGCAAUUGUCCUCAACAAUUUUGACUCUGUGCUCUGAAUCUCUCCUUCCUUUUCUCUGUUUUUUGUUAUUCUUUUCUCUAAUUUUCGUAGAAUCCAUAUCUACUGUAGCGACAUAUAUAUAUUUGAUGUUAAUUGACAAUUAAUUUGCAAUGGGUAUUUAAGAAAGCCUAGAAAUUCAGAAUCUUGAGUUUAGAGUAGACUUUUGGCAUGAAUCUUGAGUUUAUUGAACUUACUGGUUCAUGUGGGAUGAUGCAUCUUUGUGGUUUCAGUUUUUAAAUAAGAUGCUCUCCUUUCAUCUUAUUUAAUCUGAAUAAAAAUAAGAUGUUUCUUUUCUGAUGUACGCAAUUCAUACCAGUCUCAUGUGUGACUAUAUUCAAUAGGAUUUGAGACAUGAUGACUAAACCUUCUGAAUAUCUUUCUAUGGCACUUGGUGGCUGGACUGAGGAUUUCUUGUAUUUUCAUGAGUUGUAUUCAUUGGAGACUUUUAAUAGGUACCUUAACAUGUAAAAUGGCUGCAUCUUGCCUACCAUCAUCUACUUUCAGACACCACAUAUAUAAUCUCACAGUUGAGGUGUAAGUUUUGAAGUGGAGCCUCAACUUAGGCUCUCUGUUAGAACGUCUCCUUUAAGUUCUCAUUUUGGGUAAAUGAGAUUCUGUAUUCACUCUAACUGUAUUCAAUUAGAUUAACUAACAUAAGAAUGUCUCUACCCUUUUUUUCUUUCUUUUUUAUAUUUUCCCUAUUUCCCCAUGGUCAUAAUUUACAGGCCUUUGUCUUAACUCUGGCACUACCUAGGUCUGCCAAUUUUCUUUUUUCUUGGUUGGUGAUUUAGUGCUAAAAGAUUACACAGAGGAAGAUUAGUAUUUGUUUUAUGCUUGCUGUUGAGUUUCUUUUGUAGCUAUGAGGUUGCCAUUUCUUAUAAAAUUUUUGCCAAAAAGUCAUACUAGGUUACCAUUUGGAUAGAAGGUACAUCAAAUCUUGAUUUGGGCCUUUUUGUUUGCUCAUGUCAUUGUGGUAAUGUUAUAGGUAGCUGGUGUGAAAUUAAAAAGAAAAAAACAGAGUUUGCAUUGCUAUUUUAUUAUUCAGCAUUCCAUCAGUUGUUUUAUGCUUGCUGUGGAGUUUCUUUUGUAGCUAUGGGGUUGCCAUUUCUUAUAAAAAUUUUGCCAAAGGUUACCAUUUGGAUAGAAGGUACAGCAAAUCUUGAUUUGGGCCUUUUUGUUUGCUCAUGUCAUUGUGGUAAUAUUAUAGGUAGAUAGAAUCUAACAAUUCUUUACAGUUGACUCUGGUGUGAAAUUAAAAAGAAAAAAAACACAGUUUGCAUUGCUAUUUUAUUGUUCAGCAUUCCAUCAGUGAUGGGCAGCUUGCAACUUUCUUUUAGUGAUUGGCAUGGGCAAAGUCCUUCUAAUGUCCUCUCACCACAUGUGGACAUUAUACCAGUAGAGCAAUUUCUCCUUUAUAUGAGAUAGAGAGACCAAUUACUCAAAAAUGAAUAAAAUACCAACAACAAAUUAAAGAAAACAGAGCAUCUGACACUGUUGGCCAUGUCAAAGCAAAGUCAUGCUAUGUUUUUUCUUUUUGUUUGGAGAAAGAUAUGUAGUUUUGGAGUUUGCAAUUGUGACAAAUCCCCUGUGAUUGAUUGUAUCUGUCAUUUGACAGAGCAAUUUGCGUCCUACAUGAGUAUCAAUUGAUUUUGGUCUCUCAAAUAAGAAAAUGCAAUAAAUAACAUGGUGUUCAUUAGCAGCAGCAGCAUCUUUUGGCCAAAAGUGAAAUAAUUCUGCGAUUUUUUUCUUCAUAUUUGUUGUGGUAUUAGGCACACGUUGGUUGAUAAUUUGGUCCAUUUGGGGCAAAUUUUCCAUACUUUGCAAUGGUAUUAAUUAUGGCUUUGUAGUAAUUGUUCUGUUUCAUAGAAACAUAUGAAACUGUUCGUUUUCAAUUUUUGGGGUUAUUUCACUUUCAAUAGAAUUGGUUAAGUGCAAUAAUUCUUUUCUUUUUUGAUUAAUAGAUAUGGAUCAUGCUUAGAAACAAAGUUACGCUUUUUUGGCAGAUUCCAAUUAUUGAUUAUGGUAUUAUUUUAUUUGUGCUGAUUAUUCUUAGGAAAGGAAAAUAAAGGUAACAGUCAAAACUUCGAACAAGGAAGAAAGGGACUAGGCGGUCAUGGUCCACAAAAUACAUCUAUAUUCAUGUCUUUGGAUGAUGAUAUCAAGAAAGUGUUUGUUGAGCAGUUGCUUAGUGACAAUGCUUGAGGACAUGGCCUAGCUAAAUUUAAUGCAUCUAUCUUUUUGGAAACACCAAAAAUGAUGCAUUGAUAAGAUUGGCUUCAUUUUGGAAACACCACAAAUUGUAUAACAUAUUGCUAGCAUUAAAGCCAAAUGGUUCAUGGUUGUGAGGUUUAUUAGUUCAUUUUGAAAUUGUGGAUGUUUAUUUGUAUGUAUUAAUGGUAGAAUUGUGUGUAGUGAACUGGACUUCUAAUUUCUGAGUAAUGUAGAUGACUUUGGCAUAUAUGAAGAAUUUCUAACUUUUGCAUAUAUGAAAUGUAUAUGUCAAUUUGGUUUGGAGAAAAAGAAAUGUAUAUGACAAUUUGGUAAUUCUAAUAACAAAAAAAACUUACAUUUAAUUAUUUAAAAAUAUUAUUUUUAAAUAUAAAAUAAUUAUUUUUUAGUCCUACAUAGCACCAAACAUAGGUCUUCGCUAUUUUUACAAUCCAGCUUUUUAGUCCGACACAGCACCAAACGUAUGUCAGUACUUAAUCCAGCUUAGUCCAAUCUGAGCUAAUCCAAGAUAAUCCUAGGAUUUAGUCCAGUCCAUGACAGUCCGCCGUACCAAACGACCCCCUAUAUUACUUUCCUUCUAUAGUCAAUAUAUAUGACUUUUGCCCUUCAAACUAAUUAUGUCUUACCUACAAUCCAUUAUUUUAUCUACUAUAUUACUUUCCUUCUAUAGUCAAUAUAUAUGACUUUUGCCCUUCAAACUAAUUAUGUCUUACCUACAAUCCAUUAUUUUAUUUUAUUUAUAAAUAAAACCCAAUGAUUGGAUCCGACUCAUCAAUUUACCUAAUUAAAUUUAAAAUUUUGAUUUAUUGUACUUUUUUUAGAUUAAAAAUAAUAAUUAUGGAUAAUUAAUCUACCUAUGCAAUCUCGGCAAAUUCUUAUACCUACAAAAUAUAGGUAAAUUGGUACCCUUUUUUAAUUUUAUAAAUAACGUGCCUAUUUUUUCAUAACUAAUGUACCUAUUUAUUUUAUAGAACUAAUUCAAUAGCAACGUUUUUUUAAAAUAUAGAAAUAAUGUACCUAUUUUCUUAUAAUUAAUGUACCUUUUUUUCUUUAAAAAUAUUUACGUAUUCAGAAUCUCGCCCCUAUUCUGACUGAGAAUUGCUCCUCAAUCAAUCAAUAUGCAUCUCACCACCCAAGCUCUCUUUCUUCACUGGGACCGUGUUUUGUUCUUUAUUUAUUUUUAUUUUUUUUUCAUUUUAGUUGUUGUUUAAUUUUUAAACUUGUGUUUUUUAAUAACCAUUAUAUUAUCAUUUAUAUCCAAGGGCGAAUGACCACAAAUUCCUUGGACCACAGGAGUUCAGAAGAACGGGACCGAGUAAUUCAUAUACUAAUCAUUUAUCGAGCAACAAAACAAAUCAAAUCAAAGAAUCAGAAUGCAAAAUGAAGGAAGCUGCUCCGAAACUCUAUGAUCAGAUAUCCAACACUAAAUCUACUUAAGUGUUUCGUGAUCAUCACUAUAAUAAGAGAAACUUUCGUGUGUAAUUGUAAGACCCCAUGUUUAACCUAAAUUAUAGGGGCAUUUCAAAAUAGACUUGGUCAAUAACCAAACUCUCAUAUUAUAGUUGUUGAAUAAAAACCCAUUAUUCAUUUAUUAGUAUCAAUAAAUAUAUAGGCAUUAUAUUAAUAUUAGGUUGAGUAGAGAUAUUUCCACAUGUUUCACUUAAGUCAAGUUCACAUUUGCAAAAAGAUAUUUGUAACUUGUGCCCAGGGGAUGGGAUGCAAAGCCAUUGAUUGAGUGGACACGGGAAGGCACCUUACCAAGUCAAGUCAAGUCAAUACCUGCAAGUCAGUUGGAGCACGCGUUGAAGGGCACCAUAUCAAGUCACAAGUCUUCAUUUAUCUUUUUCCACAUAGUGACAUGAAUUAAAGUGGUGAGUCUCUCUUCCUUUUGUUCACCCGUGUCCUUCAUAUUCACUUUUCAGUCUUUCAUUUGAAAACACUACAAUAGCACACUUUCCAAAGAGAUUCCCAAGCAGCUUAUUGGCCUUUCGAGUUCGGGGAAAUUAGCAAGUGGAAAAAUAAUUUUCCGGAGCUUUGUCUCUACGACAAGUUGGCUUUCCAAAAAAUCGAAAAGACUUUACAGUCUUUUUGUGUGAGUCAGUCAUCAUGAGUUUGCAUACGAAGACUUCAAAGUCUCCUUGAUGAUAGUCGUCCACAGCAAGCUCCCAACGUUAUAAAUUACUAAGAUGGACAAAUGCUCAAUAAAAUUUAAUUAGGAUAAUUAGUUGAUUUAAGGAAUAUCUCUUUUUCUGGUGUCAUUUUUUAUUGACCGGAGAAAUAUGUGUAUCCGCAUAUCCUACAUUGAUUGUCUUAGUAAUUUCCUUUGCAUCUAAAAAAAAUUUAUUUAACCCUAAAAAAAAAAUAUUACUCCAUCUUGAAAUGUUUCCCCUUAACCUUUGCCACACUAAUCACAAAGUAUACUAGUAAAUGUUUCAAACCACGUAGGAUAAUUUUUUGGGAGAUUCACUAUUAUACCCAAUAUAAGAGUUCAAAUUUUUUUUUUAAAAAAAACCUAUAUGAAAUGGGCUUUAGAACACACCCAAAACCCAUUUACAACAUAACAAAAAAGCUUUUAACUUCUUUUAAAGUACAAAACUGUCAUUGAUUUCUUAAAACAAACUCAACCCAAAAACCUCAUAAAAAAGCUUAAAACACUCAAUAGGGUAUCAAAGUAAUUUAAUAAUCAAAAUUAAAUUAAAUAGAUCCGGCUGUCAUUUUUUGAGUUUAUUUACAAAAAUUAAAUGGUGUGGGGUUAAUUUAUAAUUUUAGUGCUAAGAAUGGGUAAAUAUUUAUAAUUUUUUCAAGCAUUAUUGUAGAGAUAGCAAUAUAGUGCUAUUCCCGUUACAAAAAAAUAUUUUUCCUUUUGAAUGAUACAUUCAUAUGUAUUUGAAAUUGAACCUACAUACACAGGGUGGUUGUCCACAUGGCAUGGUAUGAGAGCAUCAUUGAGCUAUGUCACUAUUCAGCAAAACAGUAUGUUGUGUCACCGAGCGUACACAAUUCUUUUUAUAUUAAAAAAUUAACCAAAAUUUUAAAAAUAGUAUUUUUAUUUUAUUGAAAUUAAAAAAUAGUAGUAUGAACACUACAUCUAUCAUCCUCCUUUUUCCAACAAAAGAAAUCUUAGUAGAUCUUUCUCUGCAAACUCUUCAUCAUUUCUAACUAGUCUAAUCGAACAGUCAACACCUACUUGACGUGUGGUUGUGGAGACUUAAAAGCCUUUGAAAAUUUUACUCCUUUAUAUGGUUUUGUCUUAUAUGAAUGUGUGGCACUGUUUUAGCUAAACCAUGUUUUUCUUUGUAAAAGUUUUCUUCCUUUUUUCCUAUAUAUAUAGUUAGUGUGUAAUUAUAAGACCCUAUAUAAUAUUAACCUAAAUUAUGGGGGCAUUUCAAAAUUGACUUGGUCAAUAACCAAAGUGUUUUGAAAAGCUCUCGUAUUAUAGUUGUUGAAUUAAAACCCAAUUUUCAUUUAUUAGUAUCAAUAAAUAUAUAGGUAUUAUAUUAAUAUUGGGUUGGCAAGAGAUAUUUCCAUAUGUUUCACUUAAGUCAACCUCACAUUUGCAAGAAGAUAUUUAUAACUUGUGCCCGGGGGAGGGAUGCAAAACCAAUGGUUGAGUGGACACUGGAAGGCACCUUACCAAGUCAAGUCAAGUCAAUAUCUGCAAGUCAGUUGGAGUACGCGUUGGACGGCAAAUCACCAUAUGCAGUUUAUGUCACAAGUCUUCAAUCUCAUAUAUUAAUUUCUCCAAUGUUCAUUAAUUUACUACUUGUUUACUUGGACUACUGACAAAUUUUUCUUCAAAUAUCUUUUUCCACAUAUCGACUUGAAUUAAAGUGAUGAGUCUCUCUUCCUUUUGUUCACCCGUGUCCAUAUUCACUUUUCAAUCUUUCAUUUGAAAACACUACAAUGGCACACUUUCCAAAGAGAUUCCCAAGCAGCUUAUUGGCCUUCCAAGUUUGGGGAAAUUAGCGAGUGGAAAAAAAAUUUCCGAAGCUUUGUUUCUUCGACCAGUUGGCUUUUCAAAGAAAGAAAAAACAUAAAAAUGGUAAAAUAAAGUAAUUGAGCAAUUAAAAAAGCAAAAAGAAAAAAAAAAGGAAUUACCGUUUGUUGACGUUUGAGUUAAAUGUGUAUGUGCAACGACUUAAAACUCUAGUUUACACUCUUUGUGGAACCAAAAAAUUGAAAAGGCUUACCAGUCUUUGUGUGUGUCAGUCAUCAUGAGUUUGCAUACGAAGACUUCAAUGUCUACUUGAAGAUAGCUGUCCACAGCAAGCUCCCUACCCAAAGUUACAAAUUACUAAGACGGACCAAUGCUCAAUAUGACAGGACCCACCCUGAAUUUCUCGGAACUUGAGACGAAUCCUGUGAAAAACUAGUACAUCCCUCCAAUGUCAUGCCCACUUACCAAAACUAUAGCCUCUUUUCCAAAUUAAGGAAAAAAGGUACGAGACUUUUUGCCAAAAUUUCGGCAGAGUCUCCCCUGUAAAUUGGACUUUCUCCAAAUUUUUUUAACCUAUUAAAAAUACAAUUAACAUCCACAACUAGUAGCAUGCACAACUAGUAGCAUGCACAAUUUAACCUUUAAGCAGUUUACGAACUAGGCCUCUGGCCUUUAACAAUUCAGUCAGUUGGGGCACGCGUUGGAAGACAAAUCACCACAUUAAGUCUAAGUCAAUAGUUGCGUUGAAAGGCAAAUCACCAUAUCAAGUCGAAGUCACAAGUCUUCGCGAUCUCAUCCAUUAAUUUCCCCAAUAUUCAUUGAUUUAUUACAUGUUUACUUGGACCACUGACAAUUUUUUCUUCCAUUAUCUUUUUCCACAUAGUAACAUGAAUAAGAGUUGGUUGUACCUUGUACAUUUUUUUUCUCCUUCUUUUUUGAAAUUUGGUAUAGUCCAGUUCUGAUGACAUAAGUGAAAUUGAACCUAUAUCUAAGAGCUCCUUUCAAAGAAAAAACAUAAAAAUGGUAAAAUAAUGUAAUUGAGCAAUUAAAAAAGCAAAAGGGAAAAAAAAGGAAUUACCAUUUGUUGACGUUUGAGUUAAAUGCGAAUGUGCGAAGACUUAAAAGUCUAGUUUCCACUCAAGUAUGUGGACUUAAUAGUCUUUUUGUGGAACCAGAAAAUUGAAAAGACUUUACAAUCUUUUUGUGUGAGUCAAUCAUCAUGAGUUUGCAUACGAAGACUUCAAAGUCUACUUGAAGAUAGGUCCACAGCAAGCUCCUUGCCCAACGUUACAAAUUACUAAGAUGGACCAAUGCUAAAUAGGAUUUAAUUACGAUAAUUAGUUUAUUUAAGGAAUACCUCUUUUUCACGUGUUAUUUUUUUAUUGACCGGUGAAAUAUGUGUUUCCAUAGAUCCCGCAUUGAUUGUCCUAGUAAUUUCCUUUGCAUCUAAAGAAAAUGUAUUUAACCCUAAAAAAAAUGUUACUCCAUCUUGAGACGUUUCCCCUUAAACUUGUUUGCCACACUAAUCACAAGGUAUACUAGUAAAUGUUUCAAACCACCUAGGAUAAUGUUUUCAAGCAUUAGGAGAUAGCAAAAUAAUGUUAUUCAUGUUAUAAGAAAUAUUUUUCCUUUUUGAAUGAUACAUUCAAAUGUAUUUGAAAUGGAAUCUACAUAUACGGGGUGGUUGUUCACAUGGCAUGGUAUGAGAGCAUCAUUGAGCUAUGUCACUAUACAACAAAACAGUAUGCUAUGUCACCCAAUGUACUCAAUUCUUUUUAUAUUAAAAAAUUAACCAAAAUUUUAAAAAUAGUACUUUUAUUUUAUCGAAAUUAAAAAAUAGUACUUGUAUUCCUGCAUCUUACUUUUUAACUCAUGCAUCAUAAUUAAUUUGGAAUCUAAAGUACUUAAUUUAAUUACCUCCAUAAUAAAGAGAUUCGAAUCUAAAGUGUUGAUGCUCAAAAUGGCCCGGCCAAUAUUGAGUCCAACUUAGUGAUUAGAUGUGCUGAGUCUUCAGCAGAGAAGAGGGCUGAGGCCCUUGGUGAAAUGGGUUGGUGAGAGACCUGUAGAAGGUAAAAAGAGGAGAAGCAAUCGUCAAGCUUCGGACACCGGUGUGGUGCCGGCCGAAGGCUCUCCGAUGCCUAAGUCAAUUACAAGUAGUAAUUCUGGCAGAGUAACAGUAAAAGUGGGAGAGUAGUUCUCUGUUUUACUUGGGUACUGUUCCCUAUUUAUAGGGAAGUGAAAGUGGGAGCUUUGCACAAAGUUCCAAUGUGGGACUUUGUGCAAGCCGUUGUGGUGACGACACGUGUCCUGGAGAUUAGGUUUGGCAGCUGAGAGCUUCGGCAGGUGUCUGGCACCUCGGAAGUGUGUCUUCCUUCGGCAUGGGAGAAGGCGUGGCUGCCUUGGUGCUAGUCGCUUUGAUGCUGGGUCUGCUCGGUUCAUUAUGGUGUAAACAGUAGUCCCCCAAGUUCGCGGUCGAGAAGUAACUUCUGGGUUGGGAACUUGUGAGUUUUUGUAAUUGUAACCGAGCAUUCCAGCUUCAUUGGGAGUCGCAGGGCACUCCCUAGUCCCCCAAGUUGGCAAGCUAGGAGUUGCGUCAACACAUGGUAGCUGGGUACCUGGGUACUUGGGCAUGUUGCAGAUAGGAUGGGAGCUGGGUCCCUAGGGGAGCCAGACCUUCGAGGGAGCCGGGUACUUUGAAAAUUUUGGAGACUCCAAUUCUUUCAUGGCUCCUGCCGUGCGGCAAGGGUCUAGCUCACUUUUUUUUUUUUUUGGGAAUGGCCGGGCCAUUUGGGAUUUUUGGACCUCCCCACAAAGCCUCCAUGGCCCUUGCCGUUCGGCAAGGGUCUAAAUUAUUAUUAUUAUUUUUUUUUUUUUUUUUGCAAAUUUUUUUUUUUUUUUUUUUGGGAAUGGGAGCUAGGCCAUUUUGGAUUGGGCCUUCCACAGCUUCUCCAUGGCCCUUGCCGUUCAGCAAGGGUGUAGCCAUUUUUUUUUGUUUUGGAUGGCUUGGGAGCUAGGCCUUCAAGAGAGCCGGGUCGUUUUGAAAAUUUUCGACUCUCCAAAAUGUCUCCAUGGCCCUUGCCGUUCGGCAGGGGUCUAGCUAUUUUUUGGAUUGGGAGCUAGGCCGUGUUGAGAGAGAUUGAAGGCUUAGCUUGGAUUGGGCCUUCGGCAAGUAAGAAAGGCUUGAGUUUGGCCAAAGUGGGCUUCGGCAUGUAAGAAGGCUAGGGUUUGGCCAAAGUGGGCUUCGGCAUGUAAGAAGGCUAGGGUUUUGAUAGGGGUAUAAAAAUGGGAUGAUGGUGAUGCCGUUCGGCAAGGAUCCAUUCGGCAGGUUGAGGUAGAACAAAAUUUUUUUUGAAAUCCAAACUUGCCGUUCGGCAAGUUCUUGGAGUCCCGGUCUUGGAGUCACGGCUGUGGAGUUGCUGUCCGAGGGCUCUGCAGGUGGCUGAGCUUCGGCAGGGCAGCUGGAGUUCUUGGGGGCUGAGCUUCGGCGGCAGCACGGGGGUUGUAGAACCUUCGGCAGGGUCUGGUCGAGGUGCAGUUGAGGUGCUGCGGAGAUCGAAGUGGAGCUGCGACUGAUCUUGCCGUUCGGACGAAGGGGCUGGGCAGUUGUCUAGGCAGGCUGUGCGGCGCAGCAGCUUCGGCAAGGGCUUUGCCGAUAAGACAGCUGCUGGACAAGUGGAUUGGGUGCUGGCCGAGGGGGCUGGGAAGUUGAUUCGGCAGGCGGCAGCGAGGCUGUGCUGUCCGAGGAGGUUGAAGAGCUUCCGACUGGGCUUGCCGUUCGGCAAGGGACUUGGCAGCGGCCAAGGUGUCCAGCGGUUGGAGGCUUCGGCAGGGUUUCGUCGCGGCAGCUGGUUCUGCCAGCUGGGAGAGGUGCUUGGCCAGGUCGUGUGCUUCGGUAUGUCCUCCUUUCCCUCUGAUUUCAUUCUUGCAUAGCCCUUGCCGUUCGGCAAGGGUGCCCUGAGCUGAUUUUUAUUUUUAUUGAUCGUUGUGUUUGAUCAAAGGUGAUAGGCCCGAGCAAAAUUGGAGCUAGGCCAUUGGCACGAGCGCGGCCAAAAAUAACUUGGCUGAAAAAGUAGCUGGGCCGAAAAUAGUUGGGUGUGGAGAGUAUUUUGACCGAAAAGGUGAGUCCCCCCUUUGUUGUUUCUCGGGCCUUGCCGUUCGGCAAGCCCAUUUAUAUUAUGUGGUGGAAUUGGCUUGGGUGUCUUGAUCAAAUUUGGGCCUAGCCUUGUAGUAGGUUUGGGCUUAUGGAGUAGGCUAGCAAACUUGAAAUUUGGGACUCCAUUUUGUUUUUGCACGGGCCUUGCCGUUCGGCAAGGCCCCUAUUUCCCUCAAAAUUUUUGUGUUGGUUAUUGUGUAGUUUGAAAAUUGAAUUCAAAUGUACCUUUAGGAGGGAAUAUGAAAGGGUACUAGGGUUUGCUCGUGAAAUUGAGGCGUGGUACCCUUAGUUGGCUAUAAAAAGGAACUUGGGUGGUGAAGGCAUCACACUUGGCUUGAGUUGAGAAAAAUUGUGAGAAUUUUGAGGAGGAGGAGAAGAGAUUUCCGGCGAAGGUUUUGUGGUGGUGCUUGUGGCUGAGGUGAUUUCCGGGGACUUGUACGUGGUGGUACGAACAAGGUUAGACCUUAUUUCGCUUGAACUUUUGAAUUGAAAUGUCUUGUUUUGCAUGAACAUGUUGAAGGUUAGGAAGAACACAUUGAACAUGAGCAUGAACAUGAUGAACAUGUUGAACAUAUGUAUGAACAUGUAGAAUUCUUGCCUGGCAUGAAGAUUUGGCAAAUUGUUGUUGUUGUGGUUCGAUCCUCUCUGCAUGUGCAUUUAGUUCCUUCUCUUGUUUUUCCAUACUUGUAGAUGUCUGAAAGUUCUGAUAGGGAAAGUCUUGACCCCCCUGCCUUCGGCGGGGAUGAUACUGAGAGUCAAGAGCCGAGUCAAUAUAUAUGUUCUGAAGAGGAAAGUUCAGAGACAGAGGGUAUGGUGGAAGGAACCAUAGAAAGUAGGAUGAUAGGGCCUGGGGGUGAGAGGGCUGAGCCAUCGGGAGACUCUGGGUCGGCUGCAUAUAGGGAGAUGCAGAGAAAUUAUAUAGAGUUAGAGGCUAUAGCAAAUCGGGUUCUAGCCUUGCCUCAGACGCAAGAAGUGGGUUCGAGCAACCAGGCAUCACCAUCAGGGUCUGUGGGUAUAGCCGUGGCUUCGGUGUCAGAGGGAUUAGACAUCCGGGUUGGUGUCCCGUUGCCGAGGCGGAAUACACUUACAGAAGCGAAAUUGGCCCAGCUACGAACAGAUUUUUGUGUGCCAGCCUAUGUGGGCUUGAGGUUACCCACGGAGGUUGAUGUAGUCAGAUAUCCUUCGGAUGGCUCCGUGAUGAUUUUUACAGAUAUGUAUCGGCAUGGCUUCAGACUACCGUUUCAUCCGUGGGUUCAGAUGAUGUUGGCCAAGUUGGGGUAUGCACCGGGGCAGUAUAAUCCCAACUUUUGGAUUCUUCUUCAUGGGGUGUAUAUCGCCUGGUGGUUGGCUGGGUUAGGGGAGCCAACGUUUGAGCAGUUCAUGUACCUGUACUCCAUUUCGAAGCAACAGGGGAAUUUUGGCUGGGUACAGGCCAAUUGCCGAAAGGCGAAGGAGAGGGGCUAUUUUAUUGGACACAAGCCCACAACGCAAAAGUCCUGGAGGAACAGGUGGUGCUUGGCCUAUGGGGACUGGGAAUGUCCUCCAGGGAAGAGCGUUGUCCAGCACAUUCCUACCCACUUCCAGUCUAUAGGUCCUUGCCCCAUCCCUUAAGAUUGUCAAAUGCCUGAUUGUGUUGUUUUGGCUCCUAUUUUUGGUUCUGUACUUCCUUUGUGCCAGUGUAAAUGGCUAAGUAGUUUCUAACUCUUGAUGCAGGUUCAGUGAAGUGGGGCCCUAUCUCCAAGGAGCAAGAAGACGAAGUUGAGUGGGUGAGGGCGCAGCUAUCAGAGACUGAGCGUGAGUGCGGGAACCUAGUCACGCAGAAGAAUUUGUUUGAGUCCGGACUGCUGCAAGGAAGUAAGUACCUGGGUUAUCUUUUUGUUGUGUGCUAAGCCUGUUGUAAGUUUGAGUAAUAGAGUUGCUUUGUUUGUUUUGACAGUGGCUGGCAUCAUAAGGGGGAGCACGAAGGUGGCCGUAGACAUUGAUGAGGCCGAGAUGCAGAAGCGGCUGAGGGAGUCUCGGGCCAAGAAAGCUGAGAAAAUUGCUGGGAAACGACCCAGGGAUGAUGAUGAGGGUCGGGUCGCGGACGUGCUGGGGAAGAGGAAGGCUUUGGAGGAGGCUCAUCAGCAUGUGAUGGGGUCAGGGCCGAGGCUUCCGCCCUUUGAUCUGCAGGCACCGCCGAAGCUACCCUUCGGCAUGGAGGAUGUGUUCGCUGAAGGGGUAGAGAAGGUAGACUUCGGCAGGCUACGCCAGCAGAAGAAGGAGGUCAACCUGGCUAUGCACCGGCAGGAGGUGCCCUUAGUGAAAGUCUUCCUGGAAGGCGUGAAGAGCGACCCUGAGGCUCUGGCGAGGACUCCAGCUGCUUCCUUCAUUGACCGGGCCCAAAAGACGAUCCUCACCUCUGCCUAUGUAAGUGUUUAGGCCAUUUUUGAAUGUAUUUGUGUUGGAUUAUUUGUGUGGAUUGACUAACAUGGUUUUGGUUUUGCAGGCCUUUGGCGAGAUGUACGUCAGCAUGGCCAAGGCUGACAAGGAGAUCCAGAGGCUGAAGAGGCGGGAUGAGCUAGCCAAGAGCAAAAUGGCAGAGGCGCAGGAGGCCAUCCGAGAGAAGAACACCUUGCUGGUUCAGAAGGCGGCCCUGGCCAAGGAGGUGGAGGAGCUGAAGAGAUCUAGGGCCGAGGAGGUGGCUGCUGCCCGAGCCGAGGCGAUUGAGUCCUUCCGAUCCUCAGAGGAGCUGAAGAGCUAUAUCAUGGACCGACUGGUUGAUGAGCAGCUUCGCUGGGAAGAUAGGUUGGUUAGGUUCAACCCCUCACUGGAGAUUAACUUUGACACCAGUGGCGAGCCUCCUGCACAGACCCCUCCUGCUGAUGCUAGCGCCCCGACACGAGAGGCUGAGCCAGCCACUGAGGAUGCUCCUUCGACCGAGUCCUGAAGGCGUUGCCUUCGUGAUGUGUUAUAGCUAUUUUGUACUCUAGUGAUUGUGUUUGAACACUUGUUUGUUUUGUUUACUUUGGUUAUGUAUGAACAUUUGUCCUUGCCUGGAGCAAGGCUGUUUUUAUUUAUGAUAUGAACUUAGCUUGAUAUCAAUUGUGUUAACAAUGAUAACAAUGUGAGUUCAUGAGAAUGAGCCUGAGUCAGGCAUUUUAUUGAAAUAGAUGCCGAAAGGCAGAAGGUACAAGUGGUCUAGGGUCUAGAUACCUUACGUCUAACUUACAGUAAAUAAUCAAGACCAAAGUAUUAUCCUAGGGUCUAGAUAUGUUUACUUGUAAUAGUACUUGAGGUGGUCAGCAUUCCACGGGUGAGGCAGCGUCUUGCCUGAGGAAUCACGAAGCUGAUAAGUGCCGGGGCAGCAGAUUUUGAUAAUCUCAUAAGGACCUUCCCAUGUAGGGCCGAGGGUACCCUCGUUGGGAUUUUUGGUAGCCAAGGAAACCUUGCGCAUGACCCAGUCCCCCAUUUUGAAAGCACGGGGCUUGACUCGGGAGUCAUAGUAUUUGGCGAUGCGUUGCUUGUACGCGGCAUUGCGCAUGCUUGAUUGGUCCCGGAGUUCGUCAAUGAAGUCGAGGUUGAGGGCCAACUGCUCGUCAUUGGCCGUGGCAUCGUAAGUGGAGGUUCGGUAUGUGGGCUGGCCAAUCUCUACCGGAGCCACGGCCUCGGUUCCAAAUGAUAGGGAGAACGGCGUUUCACCCGUGGAUGUGCGGAAGGUGUUGCGGUAGGACCAGAGUACUUCUGGGAGUAGUUCUGGCCAGCAGCCCUUGGCUUUGUCAAGUUUUGUCUUGAGGGUCUUCUUGAUAAUUUUGUUCACGGUUUCGACCUGGCCAUUGGACUGAGGAUGGGCUGGGGAGGCGAAACACAGACGAAUCUUGAGGUUCGAACAAAAUUGUUUGAAUUUGGCGUUGUCAAAUUGCCGGCCAUUGUCGGUGAUGAUGGAGUUGGGGAUGCCGAAGCGACAUACAAUGUUUUGCCACACAAAGGAUUCGAUGCGAGCCGCAGUGAUGGUGGCCAAGGCCUCGGCCUCAGCCCACUUGGUGAAGUAGUCUACGGCCACAACAGCAUACUUGACUUGGCCCUUGCCCUCUGGCAUCGGUCCGAUGAGAUCCAGUCCCCAUUGGGCAAAUGGCCAAGGACUGACCAUGGCCGUCAGUGGUUCUGCCGGGAGUUGUGGAAUGUUGGCGAAUCUCUGACAUUUGUCGCAUUUUUGGGUGAAGGCCUGGGCGUCAGUGUGGAGUGAAGGCCAGAAAUAUCCUUGGCGGAUUGCCUUAUGAGCUAACGAGCGUGCGCCCGAGUGGUUGCCGCAGAUGCCUUCAUGGAUUUCUCGGAGGACAUAGUGACCCUCCUCUGGAGUCAGGCAUCGGAGGUAAGGAAGGCUGAAACCCCGCUUGUAUAAGGAGCCAUUAAUGAUCAGGUAACGGGCAGAGCGAUGGCGAACGCGUCGUGCUUCUGCCGGAUUAGCCGGUAGUGUUUGGUUUUGUAAGAAUUGGAGGAUGGGGUCCAUCCAUGUAGGGCUGUGAUCAAUAGUGCAGAUGAGUGGGGCUUGUGUGCUGGGCUGGGCCAAAAACUCGAUGUGGAUGUGGCGACCCAGUCCUUGCUCCAAGGCUGAUGCCAACCUGGCUAGUGCAUCGGCAUGGCUAUUCUCGGAGCGCGGCACCUGCCUGAUAGAGUGGGCUUGGAAGUUUGCCAGCAAGUGCCGAGCUUGCUGGAGGUAGGCCGUCAUAGAGGCAUCCUUAGCCGUGAAGUCCUGGUUGACCUGGUGGACCACAAGUUGUGAAUCGCUGAAUAUCUGAAUUUGCCUGGCGUCCAUCUCUUUGGCUAAUCGAAGACCAGCUAAGAGUGCUUCAUAUUCGGCCUCAUUGUUGGAGGCUUGGAAUUUGAAGCGAAGGGCGUACUCGAGGGCAACCUUGUCUGGGGAGAUGAGAACGAGGCCGGCCCCACAGCCCUGGGCAUUAGAAGAGCCGUCUACGAAUAAGGUCCACAGGGGCUGGGUUAGGUCGAGAUUGCCUUCGGUGGGGGUUUGGUCCUGGCUGGGAGGGGGGUUGGGUUCGAUUAUGAGCUGGGUAGCUGCGGAAGCUUGGGGAUCCGUGAAUUCGGAUAGGAAGUCAGCAAUGGCCUGGCCCCUCAUAGCCGGGCGGGGUUUGUAGUGAAUAUCAAACUCGCCCAGUUCAAUGGCCCAUUUGACCAGCCUCCCAGAGGUUUCUGGGUUCUGCAACACCUGUCGGAGCGGGUGGUUGGUUAAGACAUGGAUGGUGUGAGCUUGGAAAUAUGGUCGGAGGCGUCUUGCCGAGACGACCAGGGCGAAUGCCAAUUUUUCGAUGUCCGGGUAACGAACUUCGGCAUCUUGCAAUGCUUUACUAACAUAAUGCACUGGGUGCUCCGCGUGAUCUUUUGAUCGGAUAAGCACAGAGCUAACAGCCGAAGCUGAGAUGGAGAGAUAAAUCACGAGGAUGUCUCCGUGCUCAGGGGUUGACAAUAAAGGGGCCCGACCCAUAUACUCCUUCAGCUCGCUGAAAGCCGUGUCACAUUCAGCAGUCCAGGUCAUGUUUCUUUUGGUGCCUUUAAGGGCCUUGAAGAAUGGGGCGCAACGGUCAGUGGCUUUGGAGAUAAAUCUGGUCAGGGCUGCGACACGCCCUGUAAGGCUUUGGAUAUCCUUGGCCGUCUUAGGUAUUGUCAUAUCUAAGAUGGCCUGGAUCUUUUCUGGAUUGGCCUCAAUGCCCCUCUGGCUGAUCAUGAAGCCAAGGAAUUUUCCGGAAGCCACCCCGAAUGCACAUUUGGUGGGGUUAAGCCUCAUUUUGUAUUGCUUCAGAAUGGUGAACAUGGCAGAGAGGUUGGGGAUGUGCUGGUCAGCCGUGCGACUCUUGACUAGCAUGUCAUCGACAUAGACCUCCAUGGUAUUGCCAAUCAGGGGGGCAAAGAGCUGAUUCACCAGACGCUGAUAAGUGGCCCGGCGUUUUUGAGGCCGAAGGGCAUCACCUUAUAGCAGUAGAGGCCGCGGUCCGUAAUGAAAGAGGUGUGUGCCUGAUCUUCGGGGUGCAUGAAGAUCUGGUUGUAACCUGAAUAAGCAUCCAUGAAGCUAAGGAGGGCGUGGCCGGCUGUGGCGUCGACUAGCUGGUCAAUGCGGGGUAGCGGGAAGCUGUCCUUUGGGCAUGCCCGAUUAAGGUUGGUGUAGUCGACACACAUGCGCCAGCCCUUUCUUGGCUUGCGGACCAUCACGACAUUGGCCAGCCAUGUGGGAUAGUCAACCUCCCUGAUGAAUCGGAUACUACUCAAUCGAUCCACCUCCGCCUUCAUGGCCUCAUAGCGCUCGGGAUCAUAGGCUCGACGCUUCUGUCGGACUGGUCGGACGGCAGGAUUGACGCUAAGCCUAUGAGAUAUGAUGUCUGGUGAUAUGCCAGGCAUGUCAUUGUAGGACCAAGCGAAGACUUCGGAGUUGAGGCGGAGGAAGGCGACCAGGUCAGAGCGAAGCUCUGGUGAGAUGGAGGUGCCGAUCCGGACUUGUCGAUCCGGGAUAUCGUCAUGGAGGGUAACCAGCUCCAGGUCCUCCAUAGGUUCGGCCUGUGGUGCGAUGGACUCCUCCCUGGGGUCUUCAGGUGGGUCUGUGCCAGCUUGAGGAGGGGCGGGAGCCUGGGUUACUGCUAGGGCUUCACUCCUAUGUUGGCGAUUGGUGGAUUUGAUGGCUGAAGCAUAGCAGCUUCGGGCUCCGAGUUGGUCGCCGCGCACCGUGCCUGGGCCAUUAGGAGUGGGGAACUUCAACAGCAGUAUAUGCGUGAAAAUAAAAGCCUUCAUUUGGGCCAAGGCUGGGCGGCCGAGGAUGACGUUGUAGGCUGUGGGGCAAUCGACGAUAAGGAAGGGGGUAGUGAUCGUCGUCCGCUGGGGUGCGGCCCCAAUUGAGAUGGGGAGAUGAAUGCUGCCAAUGGGCUGGACCACAUCACCCGAGAAGCUCACAAGGGGUGUGAUGCUUCGGUCGAGUAGGUGAGGCGGGACCUGGAGUUCAUUGAAGCACUCGGCGAACAUCACACUGACCGAGCUGCCAGUGUCCACCAGGAUACGCCCAACGUCGAAGUUAGAAAUGUCAGCCCGGAUAAUAAGUGGAUCGUCAUGGGGGAGGAUAACACCACGCUCCUCCUCCUCGCAGAAGGUAAUGGGGGCCCAGCCAGUCCUGUGGGUCUUUGGCAAUCGUCCCUGCUCGGUGCUGAAGACCUGGUGCGCAUAGGUGGAGCGGACAUAAUGUUUGAUGGAGUUGUUGGAGGUGCCAGCCAGGGUAGGACCUCCGCUGAUGGUGGAGAUCAUGUUGAUUUGUCGUUGGUGAGGGUUAGGCGGGGCUGGUAUGUUGCGCACAUAGUUGUCCAGCUUACCUUCCCGGAUGAGCCCUUCAAUUAUGUUGCGCAAGGCAACACAAGAUUCGGUGUCAUGGCCGCUGAAUUGAUGAAAGCGGCAGAAGACCCCCGUGUUUGGCAUAGGCUUGUUGGAUGGUCUCCGGGGGGGUGGCUUGGGGAUGAUGGGGGCUUCACGUGCCAGGACGUUCUCAUAGGUGGUGUUGAGGGUCGUAAAAACCUCAAACCUGGGCCUGGGUGCGAAUGGAAGUGGGGCCCGAUCACCAGGCCUGGGAGGGUUGCUUCCACUAGAUUGAUGGGGGUUGCCAUGUCUGCCACGUUUGUGAUUGCCGAAGGGAUGCUGGUAGCUAUCCUUCCGCUUAUGUGGUUGGUUGUCCUGGGCAAUCGGGGCAGGGGUAGAAUGCUGAGGUGGGGCUGGGGCGGGUGCUGAAGCCGGUGGAGGGUCGGCGAAAGUGUUGCGCGCCAAGUUGGCUGGGCCACGCUUGGAAUUGAAGUAUUCAGCCUUAGCGUGGAUCGCCGCCUGCUUCAUCAGCUCUGCAUAUGUGUUCCAACUGUUGCUAUGAACCAGGUAGCGGAAGUUGGACUCGCGGAGGCCGCUCUUAAAAGCGCCGAAGGCAGCGCGAUCGUCAGUGUCUGGGCAGCGAGAGUAUUCAUGACUGAACCGAGCUGCAUAUUCCCGAAGGGGUUCGUCCUCAGCCUGCCUAAGCAUAUACAAGUCGUCGGCAGAGUAUAGGCGAUCAGUCUGGAUCAUAAAAUGGUCCAGGAACGUCUGCUUGAGACUAUCGAAGGAGUUGAUGGUGCAGGGGUGGAGCCUGUAGAACCAAUUCAGGGCCGCGCCGCUGAGGGUGGAAGGGAAAAGGAGGCACAUGCCUUCAUCAGUGAGGCCUUUGCACCCAAGGGCAGACUGGAAGGAGUGGAUGUGGGUGAGAGGGUCCUCCGUGCCAGUGUAGAAAGCGAUGCGGAGGGGCUGGAUAUCUUUCUCCUGGUGGUAGUGGAGGAUGCGUUCAGUAAAGGGCCCUGGUCGUGGUUUUGCCCAGAGGGGUUGAUGGCUGCGUUGUUGUUCGCUUUCCAAGCGCCGGACCUUUUCGAAGAGAAGCCUCAUGGCCGGGUCGGCAUGAGGAAGAGUUUCAGGCGCCAAAGGCCUGGGGGCGGGGCAGACAGGGACUGGGGAUUGUUCCCAAUUUUCCAGCGCCCCGGUGUGGUAAUUUGGCCAGGUCUCCGAAUUAUAAAAGUCCCAAGUAUCCGAGUCCCCGACACCUUCCUCGUCGGGUAUGCGGACGGGGGCUGGCGAAGGGCCCGGGUGUGUCACCCGUGGGUCUUCGAGGUUGACAGGGAUAGGGAUCGGCCUUGGCUGGCGGUCCGAGAGGCGAUCCCUGCAAUCUUGGUAGAUCCUGACUGGUUCAUGGGGCCGGUCCCUCGGUGGGGGAACGCAAAGGGGUCGUGACUGGGCUAUCUCCGGAUGAAGGUGGUCCUUACCCUUGCGGAGCCUAGCCUGGGCCGAGGCACUGUGGCUGGAAUGUACCGGCUGGUUCGGCUGAGUAGGCCCAACGUUCUGGGUGAGGUCUUGCGGGGCAUCCUGGGUGUGAGUCCUUUCCCAGUUCCGCUUUAAAACACGGUAGUCAUGUUCUAGCUCAAUGUUCCUGCAAUGAAGGUGGUCGUAUUUUUCCGACAUUUUAGUGACACUGUCGCGGAGACGCUCCACUUCUGCCUGGAGAGUGGCAUCUUCCGAAGAUCUCCUUCUAGAAGUACCAUCGCGGGGGGUAUGAUGCUGGGUAUCGCGGCUAUCCUCGGUCGGCAUAGCAGAAUGUGGGGUGAAGAAGAGGCGACGGGGCCUGAGGGGUGAAGGAGCCAGCUGGGCUGAUAGAGAAAGAGGGGAUUCAAGUGUCGAUUUCCCACAGACGGCGCCAAACUGUUGAUGCUCAAAAUGGCCCGGCCAAUAUUGAGUCCAACUUAGUGAUUAGAUGUGCUGAGUCUUCAGCAGAGAAGAGGGCUGAGGCCCUUGGUGAAAUGGGUUGGUGAGAGACCUGUAGAAGGUAAAAAGAGGAGAAGCAAUCGUCAAGCUUCGGACACCGGUGUGGUGCCGGCCGAAGGCUCUCCGAUGCCUAAGUCAAUUACAAGUAGUAAUUCUGGCAGAGUAACAGUAAAAGUGGGAGAGUAGUUCUCUGUUUUACCUGGGUACUGUUCCCUAUUUAUAGGGAAGUGAAAGUGGGAGCUUUGCACAAAGUUCCAAUGUGGGACUUUGUGCAAGCCAUUGUGGUGACGACACGUGUCCUGGAGAUUAGGUUUGGCAGCUGAGAGCUUCGGCAGGUGUCUGGCACCUCGGAAGUGUGUCUUCCUUCGGCAUGGGAGAAGGCGUGGCUGCCUUGGUGCUAGUCGCUUUGAUGCUGGGUCUGCUCGGUUCAUUAUGGUGUAAACAUAAAGUAUUAGGAAUUUUCUUUAGCACCUUGACAUUCAAUUUUCUCUAGUCUCAUUAUGAUUGACGUGUGAUUUCCAUAACAUUAAUUAUGCAUUGUAUAUAGCAGAUAAUUUACUCCUUUAUAUGGUUUUGUCUUGUAUGAUUGUGUGGCUUUCUUCCUUUUUUCCUAUAUAUAUCUGAUGCAAGCUAGCAUAUAUCAAUAUACACUUGCAGUGUUUUUGCAUGUGCAUGUGCUUUUGAUCAAUUAACAUGAAGGGCGACGGAAGGUGCUUGAAACUCUUUCUUGCAUUAUCGAUCCUUUUCCUACAAAACGUAAAAGGAGGAGAAGUUGGCCACAGCCACAACCACAGCCACAGUCACAGCCUCAGAGAUGCUAAAGUGACAGUGAGGUGCAUAGAGAGGGAAAGGCAAGCACUACUUGCAUUCAAACGUGGCCUGGUGGAUGAGUUCAAUCUACUCUCAACUUGGGGUUCAGAAGCCGAAAAACAAGAUUGUUGCAGAUGGGAAGGAGUCUAUUGUAGCAACCAAACUGGCCAUGUGAUUCAACUUCAUCUUGGAUAUUCUUUCCUUGAUGAGAUGUUUCAACCUGCUUUUGAAUAUUCUUUCCAAGGUAAGAUGAUUAGUCCUAAACUGAUUGAGUUGCAGCAUUUACAAUAUUUGCACCUUGCAUCCAUUGAUUUCAAUGAGAGCCAAAUUCCUGAUUUCAUUGGUUCUCUAACCAAUCUAAGAUACCUCAGUUUCCAUUCCUGUCAUUUGGUUGGUCAAAUUCCAAGUUCGUUUGGAAACCUCACGCAAUUGCAAUAUCUCGACCUCAGCUAUAAUUAUCAGCUUCAACCAGAAAAUCUCAAUUGGCUCGUUGCUCUUUCUUCUUUAACGGAUUUGGGCCUUGCAUCCUUUGAUUUCAAUUGGAGCCAAAUUCCAGAUUUCAUUGGUUCUCUAACCAAUCUAAGAAACCUCAAACUCUCUUCCUGUAAUUUGGUUGGUCCAAUUCCAAGUUCGUUUGGAAACCUCACACAAUUGCAACAUCUCGACCUCGCCAAUAAUCAGCUUCAACCAGAAAAUCUCAAUUGGCCCCCCGCUCUUUCUUCUUUAACAGAUUUGGACCUAAGCGGAAACAAUCAAAAUACUGUUUUGGACCUUGCAUCGAUUGAUUUCAAUGGGAGUCAAAUUCCAGAUUUCAUUGGUUCUCUAGCUAAUCUAAGGUACCUCAGUCUCAGUUCCUGUAAUUUGGUUGGUCAAAUUCCCAGUUUGUUUGGAAACCUCACGCAAUUGCAACAUCUCGACCUUAGCGGUAAUCAUCUUCAAGCAGAAAAUCUCAAUUGGCUCCCUGCUCUUUCUUCUUUAACGUAUUUGGACCUAAGCGGAGCCAAUCUCAGUACUGUUUUCGAUUGGCCAGAAGCAGUACUUAAUAAGCUCCCUAAACUAGAAGAGUUGACCUUGGUGAACUGUAGUCUUCCUCCUCCUCCUCCUCCUCCUCCUACUCUUUACAAAACAAAUUCUUCUACAUCUCUUGCGUAUGUUGAUCUCUCUGACAACCAUCUCACUUCUUCAAUAUUUCUUUGGUUGUCCAACUACAGUACAAGCCUUGUUGCUCUUGGCCUCUCCAACAAUCAUCUAUCUGGUUUCAUUCCCAAUUUCAUUGGAAACAUGAGCUCUCUUGUGGAUCUGGAUCUCUCUGAUAACCAGAUUAAAGGAGCGAAUCCAAAUUCGUUUGCAAGGCUGUGUAAUUUGCAAACAUUGCAGCUUCAAAGAAAUCAUCUGAGUGGACAAUUAUCUCAACUAUUGCCUAGAUGUGCUCAAAACUCAUUAGAGGAAUUGUACCUCUCUAAUAAUGUUCUUGCGGGGUCAUUAAACAAUCUUACAAGCUUCUCAUCUUUGGAAGUCUUGCAUCUUAGCGCCAAUCAAUUAAGCGGAAAAAUACCUGAAAGUGUUGGGCAAAUGUCCCAACUGUAUGACAUUGAUUUCAGCAUGAACUCUUUGGAAGGGGUGGUUUCAGAAACUCAUUUCUCAAAACUCUCCAAAUUAGAAUAUUUGGAUUUAUCCUCUAACUCACUAGUUUUAAACUUUAGUUCUAAUUGGGUUCCUCCCUUCCAGUUGAGAUACAUAAAUUUGACGUCCUGCAAGGUCGGUCCCCUUUUCCCAAAAUGGCUUCAAACUCAAAAACAUUUUUCCCUGCUUGAUAUUUCUAAUGCUGGAAUAUCUGAUAGCCUUCCAAGUUGGUUUUGGAGUAAUUUUCGUAGCGCAGACAUUAUUAAUCUCUCACAGAAUCUAAUCAGAGGAAUACUUACAAAUUUGACAGCAGAAUUUCCAUUUUACGCAGAACUACAUUUAAGUUCGAACCAAAUAGAAGGUCCAAUUCCCUCAAUUCUAUCACAAGCCUCAUAUCUGGAUCUCUCUAAUAAUAACAUUUCAGGGUCGCUUUCUUUCCUAUGUGCAAGUGCAGAUAUGAGUUAUCUUAAUCUUUCAAGCAACAGUUUUUCUGGAGAACUUCCGGAUUGCUGGAGCCAUUUGGAGAAUAAUCUAGUCAUGCUUGAUUUGAGUAACAACGCUUUUUCCGGAAAAAUUCCCAUGACAAUAGGCUCUUUAUUUCAAAUGCAAACUUUGAAAUUAAGAAGCAACCGAUUUGUUGGAGAAUUGCCUUCAUCGUUGAAGAACUGCACAAGUUUAGAGGUUAUUGAUCUGGGAGAUAAUAAAUUAUCAGGACCAAUACCUACAUGGUUAGGUGUGAGCUUCAAUAAUUUGGUUAUCCUGAUGCUUUCCUCUAAUCACUUCAAUGGAAGCAUGCCCUCGCAAUUAUGUCAUCUAACACGAAUUCAAAUUAUGGAUUUUUCUGUGAACAACAUCUCUGGAAGCAUACCCAAAUGCCUCAACAAUUUGACUACUCUGGCUCAAAAAGGAAAUCCAAGUCUAUCCAGUAGACAUUCUUAUACGAGACUUAUGGGUAAUAACACAGCUGCUAGUGCUAAUUAUGAGGAUGAUGCAAGCUUCAUAUGGAAAGGAAGAAUGCAGACAUACAAAAGCACUUUGGGACUUGUGAAAAGAAUUGAUCUCUCAAGCAAUAGAUUAACAGGGGAGAUUCCAAGUGAAAUCACUCAUCUUGUUGAGUUGGUUUCUUUAAACCUUUCAAGAAACCGGUUAACAGGUCAAAUAACUCCAGAGAUUGGAAAUUUGCAGUCAUUGGAUUCUCUUGAUUUGUCAAGAAACCAGAUAGAUGGAAGAAUUCCGACAAGCCUUGCUCGGAUAGAUCGUCUUAGUUUCUUGGACCUGUCAUAUAACAACUUGUCUGGCAAAAUACCAACAGGCACUCAGCUCCAAAGCUUUGAUCCCCUUGAUUAUGCUGAAAAUCCUCAACUAUGUGGACCUCCACUUAAAAAGAUGUGUGCUGAUCAAAAUGAGCCAUUGAGCAAUGAAGAGGAUAAGGAUGAGUUUAUAACACUGGGAUUUUACAUCAGUAUGGGGAUUGGAUUUGCUGCUGGAUUUUGGGGAGUUUGCGGCACUUUGAUAUUCAAUAGGUCAUGGAGAUAUGCAUACUUGAAGUUCUUGAAUGGUUUAAAUGAUUGGCUCUAUGUGAAGAUAGCUUUGAGCAAGCGGCAACUAAAGCUAGCAUAUGCUUAGUAGAUAAGCUCGCAACGGUACUCUCUCAUUCAUCAUUAAUUUUGUUUUAUAAUUAUUUUUCUUAUUGCAUUUUUUCCUUUUCUCCAUACUGACGGGUAUUAGUUUGUUUACUUUGAUAUUUAGCUGCAGCAUCUAAAUUAGGAGAAAAGUAGUUGUAGCUGAAUGCCUUCUUUCAGUUCAAGUGUGGAAGAUUGCCAGUAGCCGCACGCACAAGUAUCUGGAGAAGAGUUUACGAGUUAAUUUGGAGUGCUUAGUAGGAAUAAAUAUUAUUCAUAUUAGUGUUAAUUACUUGUCAGAAUAAUUAAUUCGGAAUUCUCCAAUUAAUGUUUUUUAAUAUAUUUGUUAUAGAGAAAUAAACAGAUCCAUUUUAAUCCAAGCUCACUCCGAUUAAUGUAUUAAUUCCAGCUAUAAUGUUAUUUUAAUGAACUAAGCCAAAGCCAAAGCGGACUUGAUUUCAAAUUACAAUGUGUGGCUCUGUUUUGGUCAUCUAUUUGCAACGUACAGCUUCUCCUUGUAAAUGCGUGGCUUUGUUUUGGUCAUUCUUUCCUUUCAUAAUUCAACAUCUUGUUCUGGAUUCCUUUUUGUAAACAGACUUUUUGUAUUUGGUCUAUUUUGUGGAUUUUAAGAUUGUGUUAGGCUUACUUGUUAGCUGCAAAAUGCCUUGUACCAAAACUAAAUGGUUUAUCCAUACUCUUCUUGGCUUCAAGCUGAUAUCUCCUAAAGUAGAAAUGAAGAAAUAAAAUAGCUUCUAAAUUACACGAGAUUCUACCCCCAGCUUGCUUGCAGUAUAUGAUACACAUAUCUAGCACGUUGAAUCCAUACAGAAAAACCAAAAGCAGCAUAUGAUACACAUAUCUUGCACGUCUCUUGCUAAGACGCCAAGAGUUAGGUUCACGGUAUCUAUCAUAUAGCGGUUCAAUACGUUCUUGACGCUUGCGCUUGCUCAUCUUGGUGGGAUCUGCCACUUUGAAGAACCUGGGUGCCAGUUCCGCGAGCCAUCUGGGGUCAACGACUGUCACCUCGCGCAUGUACUCCUUUGUGGUCAUAACCAGCUCCUGGUAGAUCACCCAAUCUGGUUGUCUCUGGAAGAGGGCGCUGCUUGGGUGUAUAUAAACUGGUUGGUUCUCCACUAGGGUUCUAUAACCCUCCUGCGGGUCCUUUCUAGCACCGUGGAAGAAAAACCCUGCUGUAAUUGCCUUCCUGAUCUUUGUAAAAUUCUUUCCAGCACUGACAACAUCUAGUUUAUACCUGAAAUUCACAAUCUAUAGUCAGAAUGCAAUUUCAUCUUCAAAUCAGAAAACUUAGAAAUCUUUGAUCACUGUUAUAAACUAAAGCAACCGGUGCUAGUAGAGACAUUGGCAUGACAAACUUAUGCUAAGUUUUUAUACACAAUCUUUAUAAUAAUCUAUCCUAGAACUUACAUGACAAUGCUAUGUCAAUCAAAGAAAUCUGUUAAUGGCGAUGGUAGGAUGUGUAAUAUGCCAUCUGAAUUUCCAUAUCAACUUAUAAAACAGUUUUGCAAUAUUUUGUACAAACAACACUUUACCAAGAAAAACAAUUCCAGUAUCAAAAUGACUAACAUGUCAGCACAAGAGAGCACAUUUGAAGAGCAUAUACUGGCAAUUUAGCUAUACACAAGAGUAGUUAUAAUUUAUAAAGAUACUAUACUUAACCAUUGAAAAAAUGGGAAAAAAGCACUUCUGCUAAUAAUGCUCGGAAAACAGUGUAUGUAACAUCAACAUGAGUCAUGACAACUCGUAAUGACCUAUUCAAUGCUCAGGUAUCAUAUAUCAAGAUUUUAAAACACAAACUAGGCCUGAACAACAUUUCAGCAUUUCCAUCAAGUACAGACAGCAAAAGGCGUGCCUAAUUCACGACUACUGCAAAAAUACAAUGUACCAAACAUAAGAAAACCUAGAACAUUAAUCUACAUCUUUUAAAACCAUUCAUGCACAUGUGAAACCAGAAAAAAAAUCCAUGCAGCCACGAAUACACAUCAAGAUAAAUUAGAAGAACAUACUUGUCCAUGAUGCUGAGAAGCUGUUUUCUGACAUCCUGUGCCCUCCUCAAGGAUCGAGACUGAACAAAGUUCUCAAAACACCAUGGCCCUGAAAAAUUCUUAGCUUUCCAUGCCUCAUAGACUGCAAGUAAAGUCAGAUGAUCUCCUUCUGGCUGGAAAAACUUGGCUCUCUUCUGAUCUGCCUGGGCUUGUUUUUCCCUAGGCCUGUAAAAAAUAUUACCAGUCUGAAUCAUUGCAAUGAUGGUCAAGAUCUCAUCACUGCAUCCAAGGUCGACACUGCCCAGUAGCAUCUUAGACAAGGUGGAUCCAGAGGAAACUCAGCCAUUUUCCUACCCAAUUUGGUGAGCAGCCCCUCCUCAUCCAGUGCUCCUAAACUGUACAAUUGUUCCAUGGCAGAAAUGAGUGCUUGGGGUGAAGGAGGAUCCAUAAAAUCAAAAGACAAGAGAUCAUUUAUCCCCAUAGCUUUCAUCGUAAGUGAAGUUGUCCCAAGAUUUAUCCUCUGGAUUUCUGGAAUUGAAGUAGGGGACAUCUCAUUGCGGUAUGCACUCUCAGUGUAGAGGCGGUAACAUUUCCCAGGGCCUGUACGCCCAGCGAACCCAGCUCGUUGCUUGGCUGAUGCUUGGGAAAUUGGAGUUAUGACAAGUGAAUCUAGGCCCUGCUUUGGGUUAUAAACAUUUUGCUUUGCAAAACCAGGAUCAAUGACAUAAAAUAUCCCAUCAAUGGUCAGUGAUGCCUCAGCAAUAUUAGUAGCCACAACUACUUUCCUCUAACCUGGUGGGGCAGGAUCAAAUAUCCUUGACUGCAUUUCACUAGGAAGGGCACUAUACACUGGUAGGAUAAUCAACUCAGGGACAUUUUUACCAAGACCUUUCAUCCUCUCAUAAAGAGACUAGCAUGCAAAAUCGAUCUCUUCUUGUCCAGUCAAGAAAAGAAGGAUGUCACCUUCAGGUUCUGUCAAGUGUAUUUGUAGAACAGUUAUUAGAGAUGCAUCAAGGUAGUCACUUUCCGUCUGUUUAGUGUAAAGUAUCUCUACAGGAAAGUUCUCCCAGGGAUAGUGAAGAUGUUACAGUUGAAGAAAUAACCAGAAAACUUCUCCGCAUCCAAAGUAGCAGAUGUGACAAUCAAACGAAGGUCUGGUCUCCGCUUCACAAGCUUCUUCAGUAGUCCAAAAAGAACAUCUGUGUGGAUUGUCCUCUCAUGAGCUUCAUCAAGCAUGACCACAGAAUACUGAGAAAGGUUCUCGUCAAUCAAAAUCUCCCGAAGAAGCAUACCAUCAGUCAUGUACUUGAUGACAGUAUUGGGACCAGUGCAAUCCUCAAAACGAAUUGCAUAGCCGACUUCCUCUCCUAAACGACAACCAAACUCUUCAGCAACCCUCUUGGCCACAGACAUGGCAGCCACCCUAUGUGGCUGUGUACAAUCAAUCUUACCCAUUGUCGAGCUCAUUCUCUCCAAUGGCCGGCGUGACGGGCCAACAUCAUCCUCUUCCACAAUCCUAAUCCCAGAAAGACCAGUCCUAGUCACAGGUCCAUCCUUUGAAAAAGAUGGGUUCGUCCUAAGAGCAUCAUCCUCUGAGCUCUAAUUCAAGGGGAGCAAAUCCUUCCCUGUAUGUUGAUCAACAUCCCUCAUCGAAAGGCUCAACUUCUGACCUGAAAUUGAAAUCACCUUCACAUAAACUUCCUGAUCCCUCUUCACCACAUCCUUAGCAUUGCUAAUUCGCCUAGUUGCCAUCUGUGAAACGUGAACCAGACCCUCCUUCC